Molecule: transfer RNA, 75 nt
Filed under: Acidimicrobiaceae bacterium
Lineage: Bacteria; Bacillati; Actinomycetota; Acidimicrobiia; Acidimicrobiales; Acidimicrobiaceae
Also listed under: 2 other names
Description: tRNA-Gln
Rfam family: tRNA
About the family: Transfer RNA (tRNA) molecules are approximately 80 nucleotides in length. Their secondary structure includes four short double-helical elements and three loops (D, anti-codon, and T loops).
Source: RNAcentral
UCCGGGGUCGUCUAAUUGGCAGGACAGCGGUUUUUGGUGCCGUUUGUAGGGGUUCGAGUCCUCUCCCCGGAACCA